GACAGAGGAGCCAAGCGUUGUCCGGACUGACUGGGCGUAAAGCGCACGCAGGCGGCUGAGCACGUGGGGUGUGAAAGCGGCGGGCUUAACUCGCCGAGGCCAUCCCAUACGGCACAGCUGGAGCCAUGCAGAGGCCCGUGGAAUUGCCGGUGUAGUGGUGAAAUGCGUAGAGAUCGGCAGGAACACCCAGGGGGAAACCAGCGGGCUGGGCAUGUGCUGACGCUCAAGUGCGACAGCGUGGGGAGCGAACCGG
RNAcentral lists this ribosomal RNA (253 nucleotides) under uncultured bacterium. Its description in RNAcentral is "partial 16S ribosomal RNA". It matches the Rfam family "Bacterial small subunit ribosomal RNA", at positions 524 to 776 of the family's 1533-position model. The record is from RNAcentral.